This 496-nucleotide ribosomal RNA is filed under the name uncultured bacterium. Its description in RNAcentral is "partial 16S ribosomal RNA". It matches the Rfam family "Bacterial small subunit ribosomal RNA", at positions 29 to 507 of the family's 1533-position model. The record is from RNAcentral.
AUGAACGCUGGCGGCGUGCCUAAUACAUGCCAGUCGAGCGAACGGACGAGAAGCUUACUUCUCUGAUGUUAGCGGCGGACGGGUGAGUAACACGUGGAUAACCUACCUAUAAGACUGGGAUAACUUCGGGAAACCGGAGCUAAUACCGGAUAAUAUUUUGAACCGCAUGGUUCAAAAGUGAAAGACGGUCUUGCUGUCACUUAUAGAUGGAUCCGCGCUGCAUUAGCUAGUUGGUAAGGUAACGGCUUACCAAGGCAACGAUGCAUAGCCGACCUGAGAGGGUGAUCGGCCACACUGGAACUGAGACACGGUCCAGACUCCUACGGGAGGCAGCAGUAGGGAAUCUUCCGCAAUGGGCGAAAGCCUGACGGAGCAACGCCGCGUGAGUGAUGAAGGUCUUCGGAUCGUAAAACUCUGUUAUUAGGGAAGAACAUAUGUGUAAGUAACUGUGCACAUCUUGACGGUACCUAAUCAGAAAGCCACGGCUAACUACGUG